AGCGAACGCUGGCGGCAGGCUUAACACAUGCAAGUCGAACGCAUCACUUCGGUGGUGUGUGGCAGACGGGUGAGUAACACGUGGGAACGUACCCUUCGAUCUGGGAUAACUUCGGGAAACUGGAGCUAAUACCGGAUACGCCCUUUUGGGGAAAGGUUUACCGUCGAAGGAUCGGCCCGCGUCUGAUUAGCUAGUUGGUGGGGUAACGGCCUACCAAGGCGACGAUCAGUAGCUGGUCUGAGAGGAUGAUCAGCCACACUGGGACUGAGACACGGCCCAGACUCCUACGGGAGGCAGCAGUGGGGAAUAUUGGACAAUGGGCGCAAGCCUGAUCCAGCCAUGCCGCGUGAGUGAUGAAGGCCUUAGGGUUGUAAAGCUCUUCUGUCCGGGACGAUAAUGACGGUACCGGAAGAAUAAGCCCCGGCUAACUUCGUG
RNAcentral lists this ribosomal RNA (435 nucleotides) under uncultured bacterium. RNAcentral describes it as "partial 16S ribosomal RNA". It matches the Rfam family "Bacterial small subunit ribosomal RNA", at positions 29 to 507 of the family's 1533-position model. The record is from RNAcentral.